Molecule: ribosomal RNA, 459 nt
Filed under: uncultured bacterium
Lineage: Bacteria
Description: partial 16S ribosomal RNA
Rfam family: Bacterial small subunit ribosomal RNA
Source: RNAcentral
CCUACGGGAGGCAGCAGUGAGGAAUAUUGGUCAAUGGGCGGAAGCCUGAACCAGCCAAGUAGCGUGCGGGAUGAAGGCCCUACGGGUCGUAAACCGCUUUUGCACGGGGAUAACACCCUCCACUUGUGGAGGUCUGCAGGUACCGUGCGAAUAAGGGCCGGCUAAUUCCGUGCCAGCAGCCGCGGUAAUACGGAGGAUGCGAGCGUUAUCCGGAUUUAUUGGGUUUAAAGGGGGCGUAGGCGGAAGGUUAAGUCAGCGGUCAAAUGUCGGUGCUCAACACCGGCCUGCCGUUGAAACUGGUCUUCUUGAGUGAGCGAGAAGUAUGCGGAAUGCGUGGUGUAGCGGUGAAAUGCAUAGAUAUCGCGCAGAACUCCGAUUGCGAAGGCAGCAUACCGGCGCUCAACUGACGCUGAGGCACGAAAGCGUGGGGAGCGAACAGGAUUAGAUACCCGGGUAGUC